GACGAACGCUGGCGGCGUGCUUAACACAUGCAAGUCGAACGGAAAGGCCCUGCUUUUGUGGGGUGCUCGAGUGGCGAACGGGUGAGUAACACGUGAGUAACCUGCCCUUGACUUUGGGAUAACUUCAGGAAACUGGGGCUAAUACCGGAUAGGAGCUCCUGCUGCAUGGUGGGGGUUGGAAAGUUUCGGCGGUUGGGGAUGGACUCGCGGCUUAUCAGCUUGUUGGUGGGGUAGUGGCUUACCAAGGCUUUGACGGGUAGCCGGCCUGAGAGGGUGACCGGCCACAUUGGGACUGAGAUACGGCCCAGACUCCUACGGGAGACAGCAGUGGGGAAUAUUGCACAAUGGGCGGAAGCCUGAUGCAGCAACGCCGCGUGCGGGAUGACGGCCUUCGGGGUGUAAACCGCUUUCGCCUGUGACGAAGCGUGAGUGACGGUAAUGGGUAAAGAAGCACCGGCUAACUACGUG
Molecule: ribosomal RNA, 468 nt
Filed under: uncultured bacterium
Lineage: Bacteria
Description: partial 16S ribosomal RNA
Rfam family: Bacterial small subunit ribosomal RNA
Source: RNAcentral